RNAcentral lists this long non-coding RNA (232 nucleotides) under Panax ginseng (ginseng). Its description in RNAcentral is "long non-coding RNA (PGIN_LNC011077)". The record is from RNAcentral. Lineage: Eukaryota; Viridiplantae; Streptophyta; Magnoliopsida; Apiales; Araliaceae.
ACCUAUUUGGGGGGCGUCACACUCAGGGUAUGUUGAUACCAUGAUGAUGUCAACUUGAAAUUGUUUCACAAUUUAUUCCUUGACUUUCAAACUUCACUCAGGUUUUAAUCGCCUGAGUUUCUGUUUGACUAUCUUGAAUCCCUCUUUAAUGGGUAGGCGAUGAAUGACUAUGUCAGUGCACAAACCGAUCAUGUAUUCAUGAGACCAUGCAAACAUAUCUUGGAAUUGGGAC